UGGCCUGCUUACUUAAUAUAUCCUGUCC
RNAcentral lists this non-coding RNA (28 nucleotides) under Mus musculus (house mouse). Lineage: Eukaryota; Metazoa; Chordata; Mammalia; Rodentia; Muridae. The record is from RNAcentral.